Non-coding RNA from Vicugna pacos (alpaca), 1379 nucleotides. The record is from RefSeq and is a predicted model, not a curated record. Lineage: Eukaryota; Metazoa; Chordata; Mammalia; Artiodactyla; Camelidae.
UAGAAUGUGAAUAACGUUUUGAAUCCAGACCUAAUCCCCUGGCUUCCUUGUUUGAAAAAUGAACUAAAGUCUGAGGACCAGAAGCAGUCAAGCCGUGUCUAAGAGGUGCUACUAAUAUCUCAUCCAUCACCAUCCAUAGCCAACUCGAUCAAUGCCCCACAGCAAUGAGCAUCCCUGUUGUCUUGGGACCAUGAAUAAGAAAAUAGAGGCUGCAACCAUUUGUCCCUCAGAACAGAACAAUUAACUAGACAAAGGACUACAGAUCUAAUUUUCAUGAUAUCGAGGCUUUUACAGCCUGAAGGUUUGUGGCAAUACUACCUGGAGCAAGUCGAUUGGCACCAUUUUUCCAACAGCAUUUGCUCACUUUCUGCCUCUGUGUCACAUUCUGGUAAUUCUUGCAAUAUUUCAAACUUCUUCAUUAUUGUUAUAUUUUUAUGGUGAUCUUUGAUCAGUUAUCUUUAUGUUACUAUUGCAAUUAUUUUGGCGGGCCACUAACCAAGCUCAUAUAAGAUGGUAAAUUUAAUCGAUAAACGUGUGUGCUCUGACUGAUCCACCGACUGGCUGAACCCCCAUUUCUCUCCCACUCCUCAGGCCUCCUGACCAAAGGGACACACAGUAUUGAAAUUAAGCCUAUUAAUAACUCUACAAUGGCCUCUAAGUGUUGAAGUGAAAAGAAGAGUCACACUGUCUCUCAUUUUAAAUAAAAAUCUAGAAAUGCUUAAGCUUAGUGAGGAAGGCAUGUGGAAAGCCGAGAUAGGCCGAAAGCUAGGCCUCUUGUGUAAACAGUUAGCCAAGUUGUGAAUACAAAGGAAAAGUUCUAGAAGGACAUUAAAUCUGCUUCUCCAGUGAACAUACAGAUGAUAAGGUGAAACAGCCUUUUGGCUAAUAUGGAGAAAAUUUUACUGGUCUGGAUAGAAGAUCAAACCAGCCAUAACAUUCUCUUAAGACAAAGCCUAAUCCAGAGCAUGGCCCUAACUCUCUUCCGUUCUGUGAAGGCAGAAGAAAAGUUGGAAGCUAGCAGAGUUUGCUUCAUGAAGUUUAAGGAAAGAAGGCAUCUCCGCAACAUCAAAGUGCAAGGUGAAGCAGCAAGUGCUGAUGUAGAAGCUGCAGCAAGUUUUCCAGAAGAUCUAGCUAAGAUCAUUCAUGAAGGUAGCUACACAAAACACCAGAUUUUCUGUGUAGAUGAAACAGCUUUCUACUGAAAGAAGAUGCCAUCUAGAACUUUCAUAACUAGAAAGAAGUUAAUACCUGGCUUCAAGCUUUGAAGGACAGGCUGACUCUAAUUAGGGGCUAGUGCAGCUGGAGACUCUUAAAUUGAAGUCAGUGCUCAUGUACCAUUCCCCAAAUCCUAGAGCCCUUAAGAUGAUGCUAAAUCUACU